This 589-nucleotide ribosomal RNA is filed under the name Bacillus pumilus. Its description in RNAcentral is "bacterial SSU rRNA". It matches the Rfam family "Bacterial small subunit ribosomal RNA", at positions 38 to 611 of the family's 1533-position model. The record is from RNAcentral. Lineage: Bacteria; Bacillati; Bacillota; Bacilli; Caryophanales; Bacillaceae.
GGCGGCGUGCCUAUACAUGCAAGUCGAGCGGACAGAAGGGAGCUUGCUCCCGGAUGUUAGCGGCGGACGGGUGAGUAACACGUGGGUAACCUGCCUGUAAGACUGGGAUAACUCCGGGAAACCGGAGCUAAUACCGGAUAGUUCCUUGAACCGCAUGGUUCAAGGAUGAAAGACGGUUUCGGCUGUCACUUACAGAUGGACCCGCGGCGCAUUAGCUAGUUGGUGGGGUAAUGGCUCACCAAGGCGACGAUGCGUAGCCGACCUGAGAGGGUGAUCGGCCACACUGGGACUGAGACACGGCCCAGACUCCUACGGGAGGCAGCAGUAGGGAAUCUUCCGCAAUGGACGAAAGUCUGACGGAGCAACGCCGCGUGAGUGAUGAAGGUUUUCGGAUCGUAAAGCUCUGUUGUUAGGGAAGAACAAGUGCGAGAGUAACUGCUCGCACCUUGACGGUACCUAACCAGAAAGCCACGGCUAACUACGUGCCAGCAGCCGCGGUAAUACGUAGGUGGCAAGCGUUGUCCGGAAUUAUUGGGCGUAAAGGGCUCGCAGGCGGUUUCUUAAGUCUGAUGUGAAAGCCCCCGGCUCA